This 1134-nucleotide long non-coding RNA is filed under the name Heterocephalus glaber (naked mole-rat). Its description in RNAcentral is "lncRNA (ENSHGLG00100040602.1)". The record is from RNAcentral. Lineage: Eukaryota; Metazoa; Chordata; Mammalia; Rodentia; Bathyergidae.
GGCCUUUUCCACCCUUGAAAAGGACCCAGGUCGGGAGAGCACCAGACAUCUUCACUCCCAAGUCAUCCUUCUAAAGGCCAGCUGAUCUGGGAAUAGACUAAACUAUUGUCGGACAUUUAAUUUUCAAGGAGAGAGCAAAGUGGCCGGGAGACUUUAAAAAUUGCUCUCAGCUUUAUGUGCAACUGCCUGUCUGGCUGGAGGUCACCACCAAACCCCACGUCUGUGAAGACUCCUGGGCUUAAAGGUGCAGGCAGAGCAUUUUUUCCUGGAGCUGAAGAAAAUUGCAAAGCUGAUCCUGCUUUCUUCAGAAUGGACUCAGCUCUACAACAGAACUCCAGUCCUUAUUUACCGGCAGGCUUGUGGCCGGCCAGGCCCCUCCAAUGGCCUUACCACUAACAGAGAACAAUGCAGAGAACAAGGUAUCAUCCCUAGAAGGAUUCCCUGCAAAGUCCUGGCAUAUUACUCCUGACAGCUUAGAGUUACAGAAAGACACAGCUCCACAUAAAUACCUGGUCUUGAAAAUUGCUGUUUCGCCAGAAGCAGACAUGGCCAAAGUAGCCACAAAAUGUGUUUAAGCAUAGGCUGUGCCAAACUCACGGGGCUAUGACAGAAUAAUACUAAUAUUGAUUGGACAUCCAUUAUGUCACACACUCUCUAUUUGUUCUUCUACAUCUACAGCAGCUCUGCAAAGGAGGAAUUAUGACACCAUGGCUGUCAGUAUGACACAAUGGCCAAGGCUUCUGGGACCAAAGCCAGUAGAUGAGGUCACUGUGGCUUCAAGGGACUUUGGAGUAAGUCUCGAAGGAGGCAGGAAAUGCUGAUGAUCACCAGUUUACAGUGCUUUCCACAAAGGAAGAAUACGUAAAAUCUGGUCCGGAAGUUCUGUAAAACACGCCAAGGAGACAUUUUAACUGCACCACAGAGGAUGAGUAGACAUUUCCAAAGCUGAGAAGAGGUAGAGUACAUAGCUGAGGACCUGGGCCUGCAGGUGUGUGCAGGUGCAUGUGGAGGAGAGUGAUGGCAAUGGGGCUGGAGAGAGGUGAGACUCGUCUGCCCUGCUGAGGAGCCCAGACCUUCACCUGCUGGCACCUGGAGUCGUUACUCACAAGAUGGGUGGAGCCAUUAAAACUGUCC